Aegilops tauschii subsp. strangulata is the source of this 896-nucleotide long non-coding RNA. RefSeq lists it as uncharacterized. Lineage: Eukaryota; Viridiplantae; Streptophyta; Magnoliopsida; Poales; Poaceae. The record is from RefSeq and is a predicted model, not a curated record.
CACACACAUAUGCUCAGUUGGCGCGGCAAUAUAGUCUAGUUGCACACACGUUGAUGUUUAGUUGGCAGGACUAUUGGCACACACAUAUGCUCAGUUGAGGCAGCAAUGUAGUCUAGUUGCACACACGUUGAUGUUUAGUUGGCAGGACUAUUGGCGCACACAUAUGCUCAGUUGGCGCGAUAAUGUAGUCUAGUUGCACACACAUUGAUAUUUAGUUGGCAGGAAGACUAGUUCGUCGAAACAUCCCCAUGCGGGGUCUACUUUUGAAGAGCACGUCGCGAAGGUUUCAACGGUGAAAACGGAUCUGAAUUUCGACACGCGGUUUAGAAGAUAUGUCUUUUAUAAUUUUAAAAACCAAAAAUUAAUGCACAUGGGACGAAGGUGAGAAACAUUAAUGCAACAGUAUGCACACAUCCAUCAUGUGAGAAGAAACCACAUAGGGUGAUUAAUUAGCAGUGUCCUUUUAGCAUUUUUGAAUUACAGUAAUUUUGCCUUUUUUAGUAUACAGUAGAGACCAGACGUGCUGACCAGGGGCCGGCCGCUCGCAAGCGCUAGCAAGCGCCUGGCCGCCAGCUAGACGCUUCCAUUUUUUUAUUCUUGAUCCUUGCAUAUUUUGUUGCUACACUUAAAUCCUUCUUUAGAUUUACACCGAUCUUCAUUUUUCGAUAAUCUAAAAGGAGAAUUCUUGCAAGCAGGGAAAAUGUAUUUCUCGCCAUGGUUGGGGAUAAUUACAAUUAUGACCAGAUGAUGAAUAACAGUUUCCACAUGCUUGCAUAGUACAAUAUUUUCAUAACUAUUGGUCUUCAAGCAAACCUUGAUAAUUUGGGGAGAGCAAGACUGGGUUUUCCCAUUAGAACUUGGCUUGAGGUUGAAAAGACAUUUGGGGGAUACAUCGG